AGUGCACUACUCCAUGCACACUCCCUCCCUCGUUACCGCCUCGCCUCGCCUCGCCUCGCCUGCUGCCUCCCAGCCGCCAGCAAGUUCGCCUCACGCUUCCUCCUUCGCUUUCGUCCUUUCUUUCUCCUCAACAACAACAAAAAAAUCCCACAUCGCUCCUGCUGAAAGCUGCCGAGCUGAGCGACAGCUGGGAGGAGAAGUAAACUUGGUGGCUGAAGAAAAAGCUCCGCAGACAACACCAGUGAGUGGGACGCGGCUGGUUAUAGAAAUGAUUGUGGGCUUAUUUACGUGUUUGAGUUUGCUUUAAACCGAGGGGCCGAGCUACAACAUUCAGCACUUUCCCCUCCUCCUCCUCCUCCUCACUACCCCUCCGUGAGCAAAAACAAGAGGUCUGCACAGCUGUUGGUCUUCUCAGUAGUCAGGUUGUGAAUGUGGAGCAGUGAGGCAGAAAGGUGAGCAACAUUUCAGGGAGCCUUUAAAAAAUAUUUAUAUAAUAAUUCAGUUCAGCUAUUAGUAAGGGAAUAUAUAGGAGCAUAACCCCAGAAAUGAGCUUUAUGUGAAUAUAUUCAAGUAUAACGUAGCAUAUAAGUGUCAUGUUUGUGUGUGUGAGUCUCAAAAUAAGAACUUGUUUAUGAUCUCUAGAUUUACCGUAACGUCUUGUUUAUUGGUUUGUGCACAGUUUUUUUUUUUUUUAAUUCUUCCCUCUCAUCCACAGCUACUGUAGGCCAUUUCCUGUGCUUCCAGUUGCCAUUAUGCCAUUAUUGUAAUGGUCCAGGCGACAGCUUAACGCACCCACAGGAAAUGCAUGUCCUGAUUGACCACUCUGACCUUUUGCUCCUGCACAUUCAGGCUGCAGUUAAGAUAGCAGUCUGACAUUUCUGUUUUCUCCCUCCAUGUCCGUUCUUCUUACUCUAGUACUUCCUGGUGAGACGGCGUAUUCGGUCCAUGUGUCAUACGUGUUGUGUGUGUAAAGUGUUGCGCAGUGAAAUGUUAUGAGGUAUGGCAGGGGUAUGGAGGGUGAGUAGUGUGUUGUGUGUGUGUGAGGCUGUUUGUUCUGUUUGAUUUCACACUAUGUGAUAUGGACCGUGGCCUCGUAAAAACGCAGUGCCAAUUCCAAGAUAAGAUCAGGAGGGCGGCUGUGUCUCUCUCACUGUCGGUCACCGGUGUUGAAAAUGUGUCAAUGUUUUUCAUUUCUUACUAAUACAGAUCAUAUAGGAAUGAAAACAAAUAAUAGUUUAAGCCUGUGCCUCAGAACACAUGGCUGAUGGACAUGCCGCCCCCCCCCCCCCCCCCCCCAAAAAAAAAAGUUGGGAAACCUGCCUUCCGG
Long non-coding RNA from Ictalurus punctatus (channel catfish), 1327 nucleotides. The record is from Ensembl. Lineage: Eukaryota; Metazoa; Chordata; Actinopteri; Siluriformes; Ictaluridae.